Molecule: ribosomal RNA, 620 nt
Filed under: uncultured Bacillus sp.
Lineage: Bacteria; Bacillati; Bacillota; Bacilli; Caryophanales; Bacillaceae
Description: bacterial SSU rRNA
Rfam family: Bacterial small subunit ribosomal RNA
Source: RNAcentral
AAAGCUCUGUUGUUAGGGAAGAACAAGUAUCGUUCGAAUAGGGCGGUACCUUGACGGUACCUAACCAGAAAGCCACGGCUAACUACGUGCCAGCAGCCGCGGUAAUACGUAGGUGGCAAGCGUUAUCCGGAAUUAUUGGGCGUAAAGCGCGCGCAGGCGGUCCUUUAAGUCUGAUGUGAAAGCCCACGGCUCAACCGUGGAGGGUCAUUGGAAACUGGGGGACUUGAGUGCAGAAGAGGAGAGCGGAAUUCCACGUGUAGCGGUGAAAUGCGUAGAGAUGUGGAGGAACACCAGUGGCGAAGGCGGCUCUCUGGUCUGUAACUGACGCUGAGGCGCGAAAGCGUGGGGAGCGAACAGGAUUAGAUACCCUGGUAGUCCACGCCGUAAACGAUGAGUGCUAAGUGUUAGAGGGUUUCCGCCCUUUAGUGCUGCAGCAAACGCAUUAAGCACUCCGCCUGGGGAGUACGGUCGCAAGACUGAAACUCAAAGGAAUUGACGGGGGCCCGCACAAGCGGUGGAGCAUGUGGUUUAAUUCGAAGCAACGCGAAGAACCUUACCAGGUCUUGACAUCCUUAUGCCUGCUCUGGAGACAGAGUUUUCCCUUCGGGGACAUAAGUGAC